GAUGAACGCUAGCGGCAGGCUUAACACAUGCAAGUCGAGGGGCAUCGCGGGGUAGCAAUACCCUGGCGGCGACCGGCGAAAGGGUGCGUAACGCGUGAGCGACAUGCCCGUCACAGGGGGAUAACCGGCGGAAACGCCGCCUAAUACCCCAUAUGAGGCCAGGCCACAUGGCUGGGUCUUGAAAGUCAAGGCGGUGACGGAUUGGCUCGCGUCCGAUUAGCCAGUUGGCGGGGCAACGGCCCACCAAGGCGACGAUCGGUAGGGGUUCUGAGAGGAAGGCCCCCCACAAUGGAACUGAGACACGGUCCAU
Molecule: ribosomal RNA, 310 nt
Filed under: uncultured bacterium
Lineage: Bacteria
Description: bacterial SSU rRNA
Rfam family: Bacterial small subunit ribosomal RNA
Source: RNAcentral